UAAAGGUAUUCCGGUAGACGAUGGGGAUGCGUUCCAUUAGAUAGUAGGCGGGGUAACGGCCCACCUAGUCUUCGAUGGAUAGGGGUUCUGAGAGGAAGGUCCCCCACAUUGGAACUGAGACACGGUCCAAACUCCUACGGGAGGCAGCAGUGAGGAAUAUUGGUCAAUGGGCGAGAGCCUGAACCAGCCAAGUAGCGUGAAGGAUGACUGCCCUAUGGGUUGUAAACUUCUUUUAUAAAGGAAUAAAGUCGGGUAUGGAUACCCGUUUGCAUGUACUUUAUGAAUAAGGAUCGGCUAACUCCGUGCCAGCAGCCGCGGUAAUACGGAGGAUCCGAGCGUUAUCCGGAUUUAUUGGGUUUAAAGGGAGCGUAGAUGGAUAUUUAAGUCAGUUGUGAAAGUUUGCGGCUCAACCGUAAAAUUGCAGUUGAUACUGGAUAUCUUGAGUGCAGUUGAGGCAGGCGGAAUUCGUGGUGUAGCGGUGAAAUGCUUAGAUAUCACGAAGAACUCCGAUUGCGAAGGCAGCCUGCUAAGCUGCAACUGACAUUGAGGCUCGAAAGUGUGGGUAUCAAACAGGAUUAGAUACCCUGGUAGUCCACACGGUAAACGAUGAAUACUCGCUGUUUGCGAUAUACUGCAAGCGGCCA
Molecule: ribosomal RNA, 644 nt
Filed under: uncultured bacterium
Lineage: Bacteria
Description: bacterial SSU rRNA
Rfam family: Bacterial small subunit ribosomal RNA
Source: RNAcentral